Molecule: non-coding RNA, 190 nt
Filed under: Bacillus thermozeamaize
Lineage: Bacteria; Bacillati; Bacillota; Bacilli; Caryophanales; Bacillaceae
Source: RNAcentral
CCAUACGCCUGCUCUAAAAGUGCCCGGGUAAACGUGCUCGGGAUAAUAGGGAAAUCGGUGAAAAUCCGAUGCAGCCCCCGCUACUGUGAGCGUGGAUGAAAUUGCAGCAAACCACCGGCCAGACAACCGGGAAGGUGCAAGAGUAAGAUGAAGCGCGAGCCAGGAGACCUGCUUUUAGAGCUUGUGUCGC